CCAAUACACAUCCAAUUUGAAAUUGUAGAAAUUUUUGGCGCAGUUAACUAAAAGUGGGUACAGCUUUGGUUUACUUUUAGCCAGCACUCGACCUUUCUUGUGACGAACUUUAAAUCUGUCAUCAGUUUGAUUUCAGUUGGUAAUGUGUGGUAUUUUUCAAGUGCACUUCACGCUGCGCCUUGUUACUCUUUUACUGUCUUCUCUUUGAAUAAAUGUUUAAAGAGACUGGAGCUAAACUGUUGAUACAUUUGAAAGCUAAUUUCAGGAAACAAAAGUUGAUGAAGCUCUUCAAAGCUGAGAAGAUUGUAUUGCUCUGAUAUGUGACAGUGAUGCUAGCAGACAGGCUUUUUGUCCAUUAUUUUUUGUGCCUGAUUAUGUAAAGAUGUAAGGUUCCUUCUUGUUAAAUAUUCAGUUAAACAUAUCGCUGACAUUUGUUUUUUCUCUUCAGGCCUCUAAAUUGGCAGCACUGUUGAUGAAAGUUCUGGAGAUUAUCAGAUCCAGUCAUGUGUGCGGGGAAUCCCAGCUGACGUGGGUUCAGUUCUUAGAUGGAGCUGUCGAUCACAACCUGCAAAAAGCCAAAGACUUUAUUCAGCAAGACAGCUAGUGUGUGUGUGUGUGUGUGUGUGUGUGUGUGUGUGUGUGUGUGCGUGCGUGCAUGCGUGUACGUGUGUGUGUGUGUGUGCGUGCGUGCGUGUGUGCAUGCGUGUGCAGAGCAUGUUUAAGAACUGUGCAGUAUCAAUGCUUGUGUAACAUAUAAAUAAAAGGGAUGUCUUGAGUCCUAACAUGAA
This is a non-coding RNA of Epinephelus lanceolatus (giant grouper), 788 nucleotides long. The record is from RefSeq and is a predicted model, not a curated record. Lineage: Eukaryota; Metazoa; Chordata; Actinopteri; Perciformes; Serranidae.